This 72-nucleotide transfer RNA is filed under the name Bos taurus (domestic cattle). It matches the Rfam family "tRNA". From Rfam's summary of the family: Transfer RNA (tRNA) molecules are approximately 80 nucleotides in length. Lineage: Eukaryota; Metazoa; Chordata; Mammalia; Artiodactyla; Bovidae. The record is from Rfam by way of RNAcentral. RNAcentral also lists the same sequence under 4 other names.
UCCCUGAUGGCUCAGAGGGUAAAGAAUUUGCCUGCAAUGCAAAAGACCCAAGUUCAAUCCCUGGGUUGGGAA